This 422-nucleotide ribosomal RNA is filed under the name uncultured bacterium. Its description in RNAcentral is "bacterial SSU rRNA". It matches the Rfam family "Bacterial small subunit ribosomal RNA", at positions 355 to 769 of the family's 1533-position model. The record is from RNAcentral.
UAGGGAAUAUUGGACAAUGGGGGCAACCCUGAUCCAGCCAUGCCGCGUGAGUGAAGAAGGCCCUCGGGUUGUAAAGCUCUUUUGUCCGGAAAGAAAAGCAUUCGGUGAAUACCCUGAUGUUCUGCCGGUACCGGAAGAAUAAGCACCGGCUAACUUCGUGCCAGCAGCCGCGGUAAUACGAAGGGUGCAAGCGUUACUCGGAAUUACUGGGCUUAAAGCGUGCGUAGGUGGUUGUUUAAGUCUGAGGUGAAAGCCCUGGGCUCAACCUGGGAAUGGCAAUGGAAACUGGGCAGCUAGAGUGCGGUAGAGGGUAGUGGAAUUCCCGGUGUAGCAGUGAAAUGCGUAGAGAUCGGGAGGAACAUCUGUGGCGAAGGCGACUGCCUGGACCAGCACUGACACUGAGGCACGAAAGCGUGGGGAGC